Molecule: ribosomal RNA, 1236 nt
Filed under: metagenome
Description: bacterial LSU rRNA
Rfam family: Bacterial large subunit ribosomal RNA
Source: RNAcentral
UGAGUACGAGACGCUAAGGCGUUGAAGCAGUCUAUGUCAGACUUCCAAGAAAAGCUCGCAAUGUCAUAAACAAAGAAUGCCUGUACCAUAACCGACACAGGUGGGUAGGUAGAGUAUACUAAGGGGCGCGAGAUAACUCUCUCUAAGGAACUCGGCAAAAUGACUCCGUAACUUCGGGAGAAGGAGUGCCUUAUUUUUAUAAGGUUGCAAUAACAAGAUCCAAGCAACUGUUUACCAAAAACACAGGUCUCCGCUAAGUCGUAAGACGAUGUAUGGGGGCUGACGCCUGCCCAGUGCCAGAAGGUUAAAGAAGUUGGUUAGUUUCGGCGAAGCUGAUGACUGAAGCCCUGGUGAACGGCGGCCGUAACCAUAACGGUCCUAAGGUAGCGAAAUUCCUUGUCGGGUAAGUUCCGACCCGCACGAAAGGCGUAAUGAUUUGGAUACUGUCUCGGAGAGGGGCUCGGUGAAAUAGACUUGUCUGUGAAGAUGCGGACUACCUGCACCUGGACAGAAAGACCCUAUGAAGCUUUACUGUAACUUGAGAUUGAAAUUGGACUUUAUUUGCGCAGUAUAGGUGGGAGACGUUGAGAAUAUUCUUGCGGGAAUAUUGGAGUCAUCAGUGAGAUACCACUCUUGUAAUGUUAGAUUUCUAACUUUGUAUCAUGAUCUGGUCAAAGGACAGUUUCAGGCGGGCAGUUUGACUGGGGCGGUCGCCUCCCAAACGGUAACGGAGGCGCACAAAGGUUUCCUCUGAACGUGUAGAAAUCGUAUCUAGAGUGUAAAGGCAUAAGGAAGCUUGACUGUGAGACCUACAAGUCGAGCAGGGACGAAAGUCGGUCUUAGUGAUCUGACGGUGCUGAGUGGAAAGGCCGUCACUCAACGGAUAAAAGUUACUCUAGGAUAACAGGCUGAUCUCCCCCAAGAGUUCACAUCGACGGGGAGGUUUGGCACCUCGAUGUCGGCUCAUCGCAUCCUGGGGCGGUAGUACGUCCCAAGGGUUGGGCUGUUCGCCCAUGAAAGCGGUGCGCGAGCUGGGUUCAGAACGUCGUGAGACAGUUCGGUCCAUAUCCGGUGUAGGCGUUAGAAUAUUGAGAGGAGCCUUCUUUAGUACGAGAGGACCGAGAAGGACAUACCUCUGGUGUACCAGUUAUCGUGCCAACGGUAAACGCUGGGUAGCUAUGUAUGGAGUGGAUAACCGCUGAAAGCAUCUAAGUGGGAAGCCCACCUCAAGAUAAG